This 497-nucleotide ribosomal RNA is filed under the name uncultured bacterium. RNAcentral's name for it is "partial 16S ribosomal RNA". It matches the Rfam family "Bacterial small subunit ribosomal RNA", at positions 28 to 507 of the family's 1533-position model. The record is from RNAcentral.
GAUGAACGCUGGCGGCGUGCCUAAUACAUGCAAGUCGAGCGAACAGACGAGGAGCUUGCUCCUCUGACGUUAGCGGCGGACGGGUGAGUAACACGUGGAUAACCUACCUAUAAGACUGGGAUAACUUCGGGAAACCGGAGCUAAUACCGGAUAAUAUAUUGAACCGCAUGGUUCUAUAGUGAAAGACGGUUUUGCUGUCACUUAUAGAUGGAUCCGCGCCGCAUUAGCUAGUUGGUAAGGUAACAGCUUACCAAGGCAACGAUGCGUAGCCGCCCUGAGAGGGUGAUCGGCCACAUUGGAACUGAGACACGGUCCAGACUCCUACGGGAGGCAGCAGUAGGGAAUCUUCCGCAGUGGGCGAAGGCCUGACGGAGCAACGCCGCGUGAGGGAUGAAGGUGUUCGGAUCGUAAAACUCUGUUAUUAGGGAAGAACAAAUGUGUAAGUAACUAUGCACGUCUUGACGGUACCUAAUCAGAAAGCCACGGCUAACUACGUG